Condylura cristata (star-nosed mole) is the source of this 530-nucleotide long non-coding RNA. RefSeq lists it as uncharacterized. The record is from RefSeq and is a predicted model, not a curated record. The transcript is spliced from 3 exons. Lineage: Eukaryota; Metazoa; Chordata; Mammalia; Eulipotyphla; Talpidae.
GAAGACGCGCAUCAUCCCGCGCCACCUGCAGCUGGCCAUCCGCAACGACGAGGAGCUCAACAAGCUGCUGGGCAAGGUGACGAUCGCGCAGGGCGGCGUCCUGCCCAACAUCCAGGCCGUGCUGCUGCCCAAGAAGACCGAGAGCCACCACAAGGCCAAGGGGAAGUAGACUUUCUGAGUUUACAACAGCCUUCUCGAACCAAAGGCUCUUUUCAGAGCCACCCACUGGAUCAUCAAAAGGAGCUGGGCUUCCAAAUCGCUGUCCUGCCUUCCAUGAUACUGGAGAUCCCCACCCACCAACCUUAACUCACCUCUGAACACCAAGUGGUCACCUCUGAGAGAAGCCUUCACUUCACCUACAUAUGCAUCAACUGAUACUCACUUUUCCCUGAGCCAGCAUACUGUUGAAGUCUUGACAUUGUGAUUAUUCAUAUGGUUUUGAUUGAUUUAUUCAACGGACCCAUCAGGAAAAAUCAAAAAAUGUAUGUAAAUUUUUAAGUGACAUUGUUUGAGUCCACUUGUUCACUGAG